This 253-nucleotide ribosomal RNA is filed under the name uncultured Simkania sp. RNAcentral describes it as "partial 16S ribosomal RNA". It matches the Rfam family "Bacterial small subunit ribosomal RNA", at positions 524 to 776 of the family's 1533-position model. Lineage: Bacteria; Pseudomonadati; Chlamydiota; Chlamydiia; Parachlamydiales; Simkaniaceae. The record is from RNAcentral.
UACGGAGGGUGCAAGCAUUAAUCGGAAUUAUUGGGCGUAAAGGGCGCGUAGGCGGAUUUGUAAGUCAGAUGUGAAAUUCCGAAGCUCAACUUCGGAGCUGCAUUUGAAACUGUAAGUCUAGAGGGAUGGCGGAGAAAACGGAAUUCCACGUGUAGCGGUGAAAUGCGUAGAUAUGUGGAAGAACACCGGUGGCGAAGGCGGUUUUCUAGCUAUUUCCUGACGCUGAGGCGCGAGAGCAAGGGGAGCAAACAGG